This 548-nucleotide long non-coding RNA is filed under the name Olea europaea (common olive). RNAcentral's name for it is "long non-coding RNA (OEUR_LNC012808)". Lineage: Eukaryota; Viridiplantae; Streptophyta; Magnoliopsida; Lamiales; Oleaceae. The record is from RNAcentral.
UGGAUUCAACGACCCUCGUCGAGCUCGCCUUCUCUUCUUUCGGACGUAUACAGUGCCCUGCGCGCACUCACUUUCUUCUUCACUCAAAAACACAGACGCGAACACGGGGAGAGAAUAUAUUUUUUAUUACUGAAAUUCGCCCUCAGACUCAACAAUGAAGAAGAGAGAGCUAUCCAGUACUUUAAAGAACUUGAAGGUAUUUAAAUAUCAGUUUGUUAAUUCUUUUUCUUGUUUAAAAUUUGAAAUCUUAUUCAAUUUAACUGGGUUUUUAUUUAAUUAAUCUGGGUAUUUUUUUAUUCAUAUAAUUAAUAUGGGUUUAAAAUGUAGAUAUUAUUUCGGGACGCUAUGAGCUCAAUAUUAUUACACUUGAUUUCAACUGCUUUUCCUUUUUCAUUUAUGUUUUUUGCAGUUUAUGCAAAGGGCAGCGCAGAAAGAGGAGAAAGGUAAGAAGGAAGAAGAGGUCACAUCUGCUGCAGAUUUCCCUUCAUCUGGUAUCCCUAAAAAAUGGUAUUUUCUUUUUAUAUUUCUAUUCUUCUUCUUUUUUUUUG